This 504-nucleotide ribosomal RNA is filed under the name uncultured bacterium. RNAcentral's name for it is "partial 16S ribosomal RNA". It matches the Rfam family "Bacterial small subunit ribosomal RNA", at positions 30 to 523 of the family's 1533-position model. The record is from RNAcentral.
AUUGAACGCUGGCGGCAGGCCUAACACAUGCAAGUCGAGCGGUAGCACAGAGAGCUUGCUCUCGGGUGACGAGCGGCGGACGGGUGAGUAAUGUCUGGGAAACUGCCCGAUGGAGGGGGAUAACUACUGGAAACGGUAGCUAAUACCGCAUAACGUCGCAAGACCAAAGAGGGGGACCUUCGGGCCUCUUGCCAUCGGAUGUGCCCAGAUGGGAUUAGCUAGUAGGUGGGGUAACGGCUCACCUAGGCGACGAUCCCUAGCUGGUCUGAGAGGAUGACCAGCCACACUGGAACUGAGACACGGUCCAGACUCCUACGGGAGGCAGCAGUGGGGAAUAUUGCACAAUGGGCGCAAGCCUGAUGCAGCCAUGCCGCGUGUAUGAAGAAGGCCUUCGGGUUGUAAAGUACUUUCAGCGGGGAGGAAGGUGUUGAGGUUAAUAACCUCAGCAAUUGACGUUACCCGCAGAAGAAGCACCGGCUAACUCCGUGCCAGCAGCCGCCGUAA